GAAAGAAUGCCACAGCCAUGCCCCUGCAUCCAGCUGUUGUUUUAUUACUGUGUGCUUGGAUAGAAGGAGCCAACCAUGUCACCAGGGAGUGCCUGGCAGUGCUGACGCUCCUGGCAGAGUGAGGCUGUAGCCAAGAAGUCGUCAGGCUCUGAUUUAUCCCAUUGCCAAGUGCUGGAUGGAAAGUUCUGAGAACAGUGCUGGUGGAAAGGACAGCAGGCACGAUGGCUCUGAGGGGCGUCUUCCCUCAGAGCUCCGGAAUGGCAUGCAUCUGUUUAUCUCCUGCCUUGCCAGCCCACCAAAGCUACCCACCCCCCCCCAAUGGCCUCAGCAUGCCAUGGCAUUUAAUAGAUGUUAAAAAAUAGUAACAUCGGAGCCUGUGACUCUGAUGCUACUGUCACAAAGGUUCCUUAUUGGUGAGGCCUGAUUGGCUGAGCCAGAGACUUUAGAGAGAGACCAAGCCAGGUGUGGGUUAGCCCUGUACUCUCUGCCCCCCCCCCCCCCAGAUGCUGAGGUCAUAGUGAAAGGGAUGAGCCUGGGGUGUUUGGACACACAUGUCUAGGGUAUUUGCCCUUUUUCAAAACAGGAGAAUGGUUCUGGAUGCCCCAUUUUCUUAUCUUGUGAGCAGGGCAGGCUCUCUCAGUCUAGGCCGUAGAUAUGUCUGUCCUCUGGGGGGAGAGGGUAGAGGCUUUAGGGCACAUGGUUGGGGGCAGUGGGUAGGGUUCUGUCACCCUCUCUUCUUUGCAGGAUGAGUUCUACGAUUGUUCAGCUGAGACUUCCCAGACUGGUGCCACAGGCCUGCACAGAGGACCUCAGCAAAGGAUAUCUGCAGUCAUUUUUCCUCUUGACUGGGAUCUCCCGAUGUUCUGAUAGGGGUGGAAGACAAGUUUCCUGUGACUCAUUUUACCUCUGCUCUGCACCUGAAUGGUCCAGGAAGCAGACCUGGUCAGUGGCUAUAGGUCAACACGACCUGGCAUUUCCAGCCCUCAGGGCUGAUUCCCACAGAGAGCUCACCUUGAAAGGCAGGUGCCCUAGAAGAUGCCAGACCCUUUCUAGGUUUCCCUACCAUAGCCUUGUGAGAAGCCUGCUUUACCAUAGAAGAAAUGGAGACCCAGUAAACUUAACUCUCCCUUACAUGAUCAUCAGCAGAAGAUUAUAUUCUGGGGACCCUGGGCAUUAUAGAUCUGGAAUUGUUAGAGUCACCAGCUGUCAGAAUUGCCCCUCAGCUUUGGCUAGACAGGAAGGGGGACCACCCCACCAAACGCUCCUCCCUCUCUUCCUCUUCCUUCAUCAUUGUGUAUCUACUGCCUUUGAUCUUCACAGCAACCACACUGUUAACUUGAGUCGUGCUCCCGGGAAAGGCAGAUGGAGAUCUGGGGGUCAAGGAGAGAUGACAAGUCACGGGGGAGAGAUGACAAGUCACGGGGUGGUCAGGAGGCUGGCAGGAGAAGGCUCUGAGCACAGGGCUGGGAGACCAGGAAUGCUCAUUUCCUGACAGGUCUUGAUGCCUAUCAGCAAGGAGGAUGGAGGAAGGAGGAAGCGGGGAGAACCCUGAAUGAUUCCAGAGUCAGGCUAGCCAGUGUGUUGGAAUCUGGUACCCAGUGUGCUGCUCCUAGACGCUGGUUUUAGAGCCAGCAUUCCUACCAGCUCCUAUGUCCUUGUGGCUGGGACUGGGAGGGAGGGUUGAAGACACGGGCCUAGGAGAAUAAGUGCUUGGCCAAGCAAGGCUGGGGUGCAGCUAAGAUUUGAUCUCAUCGUGGUGAGUGUGUUGAUCAGCUUUCCCUCACUGUAACAGACACCUGAGAAGAGUUGGCUUAUAAGAGAGAAAGGUUUGUUUUGGUCACUGCUUUGGAGGUCCCAAAGCAAUGGCCCAAAUGACCAUUAGUGAGCCAAUACAUCAUGAAGGGAGUAUGUAACAUAGGAGACUGCCCACUUCAUAGCAGCCAAAAACAGGUAUGGGGUGGGGUUGGG
This 1968-nucleotide long non-coding RNA is filed under the name Mus spicilegus (steppe mouse). RNAcentral describes it as "lncRNA (ENSMSIG00000030280.1)". Lineage: Eukaryota; Metazoa; Chordata; Mammalia; Rodentia; Muridae. The record is from RNAcentral.